This 440-nucleotide ribosomal RNA is filed under the name uncultured Pseudomonas sp. RNAcentral's name for it is "bacterial SSU rRNA". It matches the Rfam family "Bacterial small subunit ribosomal RNA", at positions 358 to 790 of the family's 1533-position model. The record is from RNAcentral. Lineage: Bacteria; Pseudomonadati; Pseudomonadota; Gammaproteobacteria; Pseudomonadales; Pseudomonadaceae.
GGAAUAUUGGACAAUGGGCGAAAGCCUGAUCCAGCCAUGCCGCGUGUGUGAAGAAGGUCUUCGGAUUGUAAAGCACUUUAAGUUGGGAGGAAGGGCAGUAAAUUAAUACUUUGCUGUUUUGACGUUACCGACAGAAUAAGCACCGGCUAACUCUGUGCCAGCAGCCGCGGUAAUACAGAGGGUGCAAGCGUUAAUCGGAAUUACUGGGCGUAAAGCGCGCGUAGGUGGUUCGUUAAGUUGGAUGUGAAAUCCCCGGGCUCAACCUGGGAACUGCAUUCAAAACUGUCGAGCUAGAGUAUGGUAGAGGGUGGUGGAAUUUCCUGUGUAGCGGUGAAAUGCGUAGAUAUAGGAAGGAACACCAGUGGCGAAGGCGACCACCUGGACUGAUACUGACACUGAGGUGCGAAAGCGUGGGGAGCAAACAGGAUUAGAUACCCUUG